RNAcentral lists this ribosomal RNA (469 nucleotides) under uncultured bacterium. RNAcentral's name for it is "partial 16S ribosomal RNA". It matches the Rfam family "Bacterial small subunit ribosomal RNA", at positions 27 to 507 of the family's 1533-position model. The record is from RNAcentral.
GGACGAACGCUGGCGGCGUGCUUAACACAUGCAAGUCGAACGGAAAGGCCCUGCUUUUGUGGGGUGCUCGAGUGGCGAACGGGUGAGUAACACGUGAGUAACCUGCCCUUGACUUUGGGAUAACUUCAGGAAACUGGGGCUAAUACCGGAUAGGAGCUCCUGCUGCAUGGUGGGGGUUGGAAAGUUUCGGCGGUUGGGGAUGGACUCGCGGCUUAUCAGCUUGUUGGUGGGGUAGUGGCUUACCAAGGCUUUGACGGGUAGCCGGCCUGAGAGGGUGACCGGCCACAUUGGGACUGAGAUACGGCCCAGACUCCUACGGGAGGCAGCAGUGGGGAAUAUUGCGCAAUGGGCGGAAGCCUGAUGCAGCAACGCCGCGUGCGGGAUGACGGCCUUCGGGUUGUAAACCGCUUUCGCCUGUGACGAAGCGUGAGUGACGGUAAUGGGUAAAGAAGCACCGGCUAACUACGUG